UCCGGUCCGCGCAACUGGCGCUUGAAGAUGGAUCACCAUCGGGAAACGCGGACCGCGACAUCAAUCUCGCGAACCGCCGCGCGCCUGGGUAUUGCUG
This 97-nucleotide non-coding RNA is filed under the name Paraburkholderia phenazinium. RNAcentral describes it as "ZTP sequence". It matches the Rfam family "ZMP/ZTP riboswitch aptamer (pfl RNA motif)". From Rfam's summary of the family: Previously known as pfl RNA. ZMP is also known as AICAR. Lineage: Bacteria; Pseudomonadati; Pseudomonadota; Betaproteobacteria; Burkholderiales; Burkholderiaceae. The record is from Rfam by way of RNAcentral.